Molecule: ribosomal RNA, 338 nt
Filed under: uncultured bacterium
Lineage: Bacteria
Description: bacterial SSU rRNA
Rfam family: Bacterial small subunit ribosomal RNA
Source: RNAcentral
GCGAACGCUGGCGGCGUGCCUAAUACAUGCAAGUCGAGCGAGCUUGCCUAGAUGAUUUUAGUGCUUGCACUAAAUGAAACUAGAUACAAGCGAGCGGCGGACGGGUGAGUAACACGUGGGUAACCUGCCCAAGAGACUGGGAUAACACCUGGAAACAGAUGCUAAUACCGGAUAACAACACUAGACGCAUGUCUAGAGUUUGAAAGAUGGUUCUGCUAUCACUCUUGGAUGGACCUGCGGUGCAUUAGCUAGUUGGUAAGGUAACGGCUUACCAAGGCAAUGAUGCAUAGCCGAGUUGAGAGACUGAUCGGCCACAUUGGGACUGAGACACGGCCCAA